Molecule: long non-coding RNA, 3384 nt
Organism: Pantherophis guttatus
Lineage: Eukaryota; Metazoa; Chordata; Lepidosauria; Squamata; Colubridae
Source: RefSeq, a predicted model, not a curated record
AUAAACCUAUCAGACAAGCCCUCUGUAUCAGAUAUCGAAAGGCCUGAUGUGAAAGCAAUGGGAAGAAGCAGUGGCAUAGAAACAGACAGGUGCGGGUGCCUUCUGAAAACAUCACACAAAUCCUGCACCAGAAACUUCCUCUGAUAUGCUGGCGAUCACCAUUGCCAUCAUUCACCAACUGUCAGGGCUGCAUCCCAGACACACAUGCGUGGAAUUUUAAGCACAGCCACUUGCUUCCAGGACUUUCUCAAUAAGAUCAGAAGCUGUUUUCAUUCAGAGCUCUGUUCAUCCUAUGGCUGAAGGUGUAGCAAAACGACGAAGGAUGCAAUUACCAGAGAUCCUAUACUCUGUCUCGCUCGCUUCAGAGCACGCAGCUCCAGAAAUGGAUGACAUCAGAGUGCAGUAGAGAUGGUGGCAGCAGCAAAUGCAGCAGGAGCAGCAGAAGCAACAGCCACCACCACUCGCUGAGCAGCCAGAGGAGCUAUAGACAAUGAAAAGGAGUUGGGGGGUGAGAAGAGGGAAAGCCUGGAAAGCCUGAUUAAGAAUGCUGAUUAAUUGCCGUCUCAUUCUUAGCUACCUGAAAGUAAUGCUGCAUCUGGUAAUGAACGCAUUGAGUGGACUAAGAACUGUUCAUCUGGGAAAUGGGCUGCGAGUGGGCCAUGUCCACUCCUCAUUGGUCAAGAGAACUACAUCCAUAUGGAUAGCAAGGCCGGGCCUUUGGAAGGAAGGAAGCAAGCAAGCAAGCAAGCAAGCAAGCAAGCUCCAGCUGAGCUUCAAUUUUUAUUCUUGGAUCUUCAGGGCCAUUUUGACUUCAGAGGUGAACAUUUUAUCAUGAUCAAAUCAUGGCCACCCAAAACAAACAAGCACAAUAAUUGGGUCUGGUCUCCUGGUCUCAACAGUUCCAAGAAGGCUCCACACCCAUUUGCAAUACUCAGGUGACCCUGACGACACAGAUAAACCUCCAGGUCUCAAUGACUCUCUAAAAAGAAUGCAAAUGAUCAGCUGUCUGCAAGGAGUAUAAAUCCUUCCAUUCCCCACCAUCCAGCCAGAGCUGAAGAAGCUUCUUGGAUGAGAAAUGAAACGUCUUCAAAGAAAAACCAGAAAGUCCAGUUGCCUCUUGAAAAAGCACCUUUUGGACAACCAUGACCUGGAUAACUGAGAAUCUCCAUAGAUGUCUGGUCUCCUGGACUUCUAGCUCUUAUUCAGUAUCCAAAAUGCAGCUUUGUUGAAUCCUCGGGCCCUUAUACAUCUUGGACAACUUUGCUUCUCCUUCAGAAAUGAUUUUUUUUUUUUUAAAUUUAGGUCAUUUGAAAUUGCUUGUAUACCAACAACACAAACCAGAUUGGCCUCUAAGAAUUGAAAAGAAAAUCAAGAGCAAGGUCAUAGCUGAAAGUUAACCUCCAUUUGACCAAUCCAAAUCUAGAAAUAAGUAAGCAGAUUCUGGGACUCAUUUUAACUGUGCUGCACACAAUUAAAAAAUUCCUAAAAUGGAGGACUAUUUGCUGCUGAAACUGGGCUCUCAAAUUGAAAUUUUAUCUCUAGGACGAUGAAGAAAGAAAGAUUCAACAGUUUUUUGAAACAAAAUUUUGAAACUGGAUUCCAGCAAGCAAAAUUCAUUUCUACUUUAUCCACAAUAUGCAGCGGAAAAGAUGCUAGCACUGAACCUCAACGAUAAUUUGCAGCAUUAUUUAAAGAUUAAAGAUACGGAAGCAGCAGGACCAUGGAGAGCACUCAGCGACAUGAAAGGAAAACAAGACUAUGAAAGUCACAAGCAUAAGGCAAAGGUUGAAAUGCCAACCAGAACACGACGAUUCCCUUCCAUUUGAAGAGGUAUAUAUGCAUUUCCUUCCCUUUCUACUGAAAAUGGAAAGUGCCAAUCAGCAUGCAAAAGAGAAGGACAAGAAGAAUACAUAAAAAGACAAGCACAACACCCUGUCCAUAAUGAAAAAUUAUGAUUUGUUUUAGGUCUGAAUCUGGCCUGAAAAUCAGUAAGGUAAGGAUAUCAGGAGAAUAUCAGCUAUAAUUAAAUUGUUGCUCAUACCAGGGGCCAAUAUGCAUUUUUGACUUUAAAGGUAGUUAUGGCAAAUUUUGUGGUCAAAUGUUAUAAUUCCUACGUGUGUGUCUGUGAGAGAGAGAGAGUGUGUGUGUAUAUAUGUAUGUAUGUAUGUAUGUAUGUAUGUAUGUAUGUAUGUAUUGUCUGUCUAUUAUAUCUAUUUGUCUACUUUAAUCAUGCAAAAGAAUGAAUUGCUAAGGAAGGUCUUAAUAGGAUAAUAAUGUAUUUUGAAUACAAUUAGAAACUAUGGUGAACAUACAGGAUGACCUUAAAAGAAGAUCCAUUACUAAGGUAACAAUAUGAUAAAUAAGGCUUGAGACCAGACCAAGAAAAGGCUUUACAAAAAACCACCUUAGACAGCCCCCUCCCCAUUUGCACAUCCAGAUAAAAUGAGGAAAGCAAGAAGAUACAGUUUUGCUAGAUUCUGAUACUAUAGCUUUCUAAUAAGAAUGGCUUUAGAUCUAUCUGGUAUCUGCUUCUUAGUCUGGUCUACCUUAUAGGGCUGAAACAAAAUCAUAUAUGACUGAGAUGAGGGCUUAAAGUCAGUGUUCUAAAAUUCUGGCAGAACAUUUUCCCCACUGGGUUUAGCCUACUAAUGCUCUAAGUCAUGGGUGUCAAACUCACGGGAUCAUGUUGCCAUCACAUGAUGUUUCAUGACAUUUUUUCCCUUCACGGAGCUGGGGUGGGCAUGGCCUGCACAUGACGCACUUGGUCCAUGGGCCGCCAGUUUGACACCCCUGCCCUAAGUAAACUAUUGGUUCACUUGAGUAAAAAUAAUGGCAAAGAGGUAUAUUAUCAUAAAUCUGAAAUCUGUGAUAUCUUUGGAGAAGUAAGCAGAUGCUUCACCAAUCAUAAGGGAUACUGUCAUCCAAAGAAAUAUGGUACCUUAUUAAAAGAUAAGGCUUUACUGUAACCAAAUAUCUUAGGAAUAUUACUAUUUUAAGCUUGAGAAGGGUAUUCAUAUUCCACUUAUUGGAUUCCAGGUUCUGGUUUAUUCUAUAUCUUAUCCACUUAUGUGAUAUUUAUGAGAUUUAAUCAACAGCUUAUGUGCUAUCACACAGUUUACACCAAGGAGGACUACAGUUUGAAAAUCUCAUCCAACAUUUAAUUAAAAUUUCAAAAAGAAGACACACACAUACACAAACAUCAUACAAUUCUUGCUAGAUAUGAUGCCGAGAAACAAAUUUAUGAAAGCAUGCUUCAUACAAAAAAACACUGUAUACAGAUGAACUCUGUAACUAUAUGUUGCUAUUUGUUCUCUCUAUUGUAUUUGUUGAUCAAUGAUUGAAAUAAAAGAGUAUUAUUUGUAAGCUGUGGUGAGCUGCAGUGAG